CACCGCAUUUAAGCCCCGCCCCCUUACAUCACCCCUAUUCCUUUCCCAUUACAUCACCCCCCUUAGCCACGCCCCCAUUACAUCAUCCCAUCCCUUUCCCAUUACAUCACCCCCCUUAGCCACGCCCCCAUUACAUCACCCCAUCCCUUUCCCAUUACAUUACCUUCUUUGGCCACGCCCCCAUUACAUCACCCCUAUUCCUUUCCCAUUACAUCACCCCCCCUUAGCCACGCCCCCCCAUUCCACCAUUCAUUCUUUUAACCCCUCCCACCUUUAAGCCACGCCCACACAGGUGUGUGGGCGUGUCCGUAGUGAAGCCCCGCCCCCCCUGUGACGUCACGCAGGUGUUCCAGGUGAACGUGACGGCGGCGGCCAUGUUGGUGCGGCUGGUGGUGCCGCACAUGGAGAAGCGAGGGUGACUGGGUUAUACUGGUUUAUACUGGGUUAUACUGGUUUAUACUGGUUUAUGCUGGUUUAUACUGGUUUAUACUGGGAGGGAAAAAAUGGUGAAAAAUUGGGCGAAAAUUGGGUUCAAAAUGGGGAAAAAACGGGUUAAAAAUGGGGGAAAAUUGGAAUUUGGGGUUACUGGGUUAUACUGGUUUAUACUGGGUUAUACUGGUUUAUGCUGGUUUAUACUGGUUUAUACUGGUUUAAACUGGUUUAUACUGGGAGGGGAAAAAUGGUGAAAAUUGGGCGAAAAUUGGGUUAAAAAUGGGGAAAAAAAAAGGGGUAAAAAUGGGGGAAAAUUGGAAUUUGGGGUUACUGGUUUGUACUGGUUUAUACUGGUUUAUACUGGUUUAUACUGGGAGGGGAAAAAUGGUGAAAAUUGGGCGAAAAUUGGGUUAAAAAUGGGGAAAAAAAAAGGGUUAAAAAUGGGGGAAAAUUGGAAUUUGGGGUUACUGGUUUGUACUGGUUUAUACUGGGUUAUACUGGUUUAUACUGGGAGGGGAAAAAUGGUGAAAAUUGGGCGAAAAUUGGGUUAAAAAUGGGGGAAAAAAGGGUUAAAAACGGGGGAAAAUUGGAAUUUGGGGUUACUGGUUUGUACUGGUUUAUACUGGUUUAUACUGGGAUGGGUUCUGGGGUUACUGGGACGAACUGGGACCCCAUUUUCCCUUACUGGUUUGGUGCUUUCCCUUACUGGUUUAUACUGGUUUGGGGUUUUUCCUUACUGGUUUGUACUGGUUUAUACUGGGAUGGGUUCUGGGGUUACUGGGAUGAACUGGGAUGA
This 1228-nucleotide long non-coding RNA is filed under the name Zonotrichia albicollis (white-throated sparrow). RNAcentral's name for it is "lncRNA (ENSZALG00000000892.1)". Lineage: Eukaryota; Metazoa; Chordata; Aves; Passeriformes; Passerellidae. The record is from RNAcentral.